GAUGAACGCUGGCGGCGUGCCUAAUACAUGCAAGUAGAACGCUGAAGGAAGGAGCUUGCUCUUUCCGGAUGAGUUGCGAACGGGUGAGUAACGCGUAGGUAACCUGCCUGGUAGCGGGGGAUAACUAUUGGAAACGAUAGCUAAUACCGCAUAACAGUAGAUGUUGCAUGAUAUCUACUUAAAAGGUGCAAUUGCACCACUACCAGAUGGACCUGCGUUGUAUUAGCUAGUUGGUGAGGUAACGGCUCACCAAGGCGACGAUACAUAGCCGACCUGAGAGGGUGAUCGGCCACACUGGGACUGAGACACGGCCCAGACUCCUACGGGAGGCAGCAGUAGGGAAUCUUCGGCAAUGGACGGAAGUCUGACCGAGCAACGCCGCGUGAGGGAAGAAGGGUGUCGGAUCGUAAAGCUCUGUUGUAAGAGAAGAACGAGUGUGAGAGUGGAAAGUUCACACUGUGACGGUAUCUUAACAGAAAGGGACGGCUAACUACGUG
RNAcentral lists this ribosomal RNA (497 nucleotides) under uncultured bacterium. Its description in RNAcentral is "partial 16S ribosomal RNA". It matches the Rfam family "Bacterial small subunit ribosomal RNA", at positions 28 to 507 of the family's 1533-position model. The record is from RNAcentral.